This 482-nucleotide ribosomal RNA is filed under the name uncultured bacterium. RNAcentral describes it as "partial 16S ribosomal RNA". It matches the Rfam family "Bacterial small subunit ribosomal RNA", at positions 30 to 507 of the family's 1533-position model. The record is from RNAcentral.
AUUGAACGCUGGCGGCAUGCUUUACACAUGCAAGUCGAACGGUAACAGGCCGCAAGGUGCUGACGAGUGGCUAACGGGUGAGUAAUUCAUCGGAACGUGCCCAGUCGUUGGGGAUAACUUCUCGUAAGAGUAGCUAAUACCGCAUACGAUCUAUUGUUGAAAGCGGGGGACCGUAAGGCCUCGCGCGAUUUUUUCUGCCGAUGUCAGAUUAGUUAGUUGGUGGGGUAAAGGCUCACCAAGCCAACGAUCUGUAGCUGGUCUGAGAGGACGACCAGCCACACUGGGAAUGAGACACGGCCAAGAAACCUACGGGAGGCAGCAGUGGGGAAUUUUGGACAAUGGGCGCAAGAAUGAUACAGCAAUGCCGCGUGGAGGAAGAAGGAAUUCGGGUUGUAAACUGCUUUUGUACGGAAAGAAACGGCUCUGGUUAAUACCCGGGGAUAAUGACGGUAACGUAAGAAUAAGCACCGGCUAACUACGUG